This 245-nucleotide ribosomal RNA is filed under the name uncultured bacterium. RNAcentral's name for it is "partial 16S ribosomal RNA". It matches the Rfam family "Bacterial small subunit ribosomal RNA", at positions 524 to 768 of the family's 1533-position model. The record is from RNAcentral.
UACGGAGGGUGCAAGCGUUAUCCGGAUUCACUGGGUUUAAAGGGUGCGUAGGAGGGCAGGUAAGUCAGUGGUGAAAUCCCCGAGCUUAACUUGGGAACUGCCGUUGAUACUAUCUGUCUUGAAUGCUGUGGAGGUAAGCGGAAUAUGUCAUGUAGCGGUGAAAUGCUUAGAUAUGACAUAGAACACCAAUUGCGAAGGCAGCUUGCUACACAGUAAUUGACUCUGAUGCACGAAAGCGUGGGGAU